This 443-nucleotide ribosomal RNA is filed under the name uncultured bacterium. RNAcentral's name for it is "partial 16S ribosomal RNA". It matches the Rfam family "Bacterial small subunit ribosomal RNA", at positions 338 to 795 of the family's 1533-position model. The record is from RNAcentral.
CCUACGGGAGGCAGCAGUGGGGAAUAUUGGGCAAUGGGCGCAAGCCUGACCCAGCAACGCCGCGUGAAGGAAGAAGGCUUUCGGGUUGUAAACUUCUUUUGUCAGGGACGAAGCAAGUGACGGUACCUGACGAAUAAGCCACGGCUAACUACGUGCCAGCAGCCGCGGUAAUACGUAGGUGGCAAGCGUUAUCCGGAUUUAUUGGGUGUAAAGGGCGUGUAGGCGGGAAUGCAAGUCAGAUGUGAAAACUAUGGGCUCAACCCAUAGCCUGCAUUUGAAACUGGUGUUCUUGAGUGGGCGAGAGGUAUGCGGAAUGCGUGGUGUAGCGGUGAAAUGCAUAGAUAUCACGCGGAACUCCGGUUGCGAAGGCAGAAUACUGGAGCCCAACUGACGCUGAGGCACGAAAGCGUGGGUAUCGAACAGGAUUAGAUACCCUAGUAGUC